CUCCUUCGACGGCGCCGCCUAGGAACGCGGAGAAAAUAUGACAAAGGAACGGCCAAAAAUAAAAAGAAAGACCUUUCUUUUGAAAAAAAAAACAAAAAAAAGGAAUGCAACACGAGGACUUCCCAGGAGGUCACCCAUCCUAGUACUACUCUCGCCCAAGCACGCUUAACUUCGGAGUUCUGAUGGGAUCCGGUGCUUUAUUGCUGGUAUGAUCGCAUCCGACAUACCGUGCGUUCUCCUCCCCUUUAUGCCCGCACCUCCGUGUACGGCCCGCCCAUAGCUCCUUCGACGGCGCCGCCUAGGAACGCGGAGAAAAUAUGACAAAGGAACGGCCAAAAAUAAAAAGAAAGACCUUUCUUUUGAAAAAACAAACAAAAAAAAGGAAUGCAACACGAGGACUUCCCAGGAGGUCACCCAUCCUAGUACUACUCUCGCCCAAGCACGCUUAACUUCGGAGUUCUGAUGGGAUCCGGUGCUUUAGUGCUGGUAUGAUCGCAUCCGACAUACCGUGCGUUCUCCUCCCCUUUAUGCCCGCGCCUCCGUGUACGGCCCGCCCAUAGCUCCUUCGACGGCGCCGCCUAGGAACGCGGAGAAAAUAUGACAAAGGAACGGCCAAAAAUAAAAAGAAAGACCUUUCUUUUGAAAAAACAAACAAAUAAAAGGAAUGCAACACGAGGACUUCCCAGGAGGUCACCCAUCCUAGUACUACUCUCGCCCAAGCACGCUUAACUUCGAAGUUCUGAUGGGAUCCGGUGCUUUAGUGCUGGUAUGAUCGUAUCCGACAUACCGUGCGUUCUCCUCCCCUGAAUGCCCGCGCCUCCGUGUACGGCCCGCCCAGAGCUCUUUAGAUGGGACUUCCGAUGGAAUCGGAGACAAUAGGACAAAGGAACGGCCAAAAAUAAAAAGAAAGACCUUUCUUCCGAAAAAACAAACGCCUCCGUGUACGGCCCGCCCAUAGCUCCUUCGACGGCGCCGCCUAGGAACGCGGAGAAAAUAUGACAAAGGAACGGCCAAA
This 1015-nucleotide long non-coding RNA is filed under the name Sorghum bicolor (sorghum). RNAcentral's name for it is "long non-coding RNA (SBIC_LNC015499)". Lineage: Eukaryota; Viridiplantae; Streptophyta; Magnoliopsida; Poales; Poaceae. The record is from RNAcentral.